Molecule: transfer RNA, 73 nt
Filed under: Anneissia japonica
Lineage: Eukaryota; Metazoa; Echinodermata; Crinoidea; Comatulida; Comatulidae
Description: tRNA-Tyr
Rfam family: tRNA
About the family: Transfer RNA (tRNA) molecules are approximately 80 nucleotides in length. Their secondary structure includes four short double-helical elements and three loops (D, anti-codon, and T loops). Further hydrogen bonds mediate the characteristic L-shaped molecular structure. tRNAs have two regions of fundamental functional importance: the anti-codon, which is responsible for specific mRNA codon recognition, and the 3' end, to which the tRNAs corresponding amino acid is attached (by aminoacyl-tRNA synthetases). tRNAs cope with the degeneracy of the genetic code in two manners: having more than one tRNA (with a specific anti-codon) for a particular amino acid; and 'wobble' base-pairing, i.e. permitting non-standard base-pairing at the 3rd anti-codon position.
Source: RNAcentral
CCCUCGAUAGCUCAGUCGGUAGAGCGGAGGAUCGUAGAUCCUUAGGUUGCUGGUUCAAAUCCGGCUCGAAGGA